Small nucleolar RNA from Pipistrellus kuhlii (Kuhl's pipistrelle), 101 nucleotides. RefSeq annotates it as small nucleolar RNA U13. Lineage: Eukaryota; Metazoa; Chordata; Mammalia; Chiroptera; Vespertilionidae. The record is from RefSeq and is a predicted model, not a curated record. The transcript has a single exon.
AUCCUGUUGUAGUUCAUAAGCAUGAUGAUUGGGUGUGCAUGCUCUUGUGUGAGAUACGCCUUCCUGAAAUCUUGUUACAUUGGCACAUUAUUCAUAUGAUG